Molecule: ribosomal RNA, 253 nt
Filed under: uncultured bacterium
Lineage: Bacteria
Description: partial 16S ribosomal RNA
Rfam family: Bacterial small subunit ribosomal RNA
Source: RNAcentral
UACGUAGGGGGCAAGCGUUGUCCGGAUUUAUUGGGCGUAAAGCGCUCGCAGGUGGUUCAUUGCGUCGUGCGUGAAAGACCCCGGCUCAACUGGGGAGGGUCGUGCGAAACGGGUGAACUAGAGGCCAGUAGGGGGAUGUGGAAUUCCGGGUGUAGUGGUGGAAUGCGUAGAGAUCCGGAGGAACACCAGCGGCGAAGGCGGCAUCCUGGACUGGUCCUGACACUCAGGAGCGAAAGCGUGGGGAGCGAUCCGG